Sinocyclocheilus anshuiensis is the source of this 99-nucleotide long non-coding RNA. RefSeq lists it as uncharacterized. NCBI's taxonomy places the organism in Eukaryota, Metazoa, Chordata, Actinopteri, Cypriniformes, Cyprinidae. The transcript is spliced from 3 exons. The record is from RefSeq and is a predicted model, not a curated record.
AUGCAAAGGAGUGCAUCGGUGAUCUUGCUGAGAAGCGUGAGGACGGACGGACGGCGCUGUGCGGACACGACCGAAUCAAUCGGGUUGUGAAACCAAACC